GAUGAACGCUGGCGGCGUGCCUAAUACAUGCAAGUCGAGCGAACAGACGAGGAGCUUGCUCCUCUGAUGUUAGCGGCGGACGGGUGAGUAACACGUGGAUAACCUACCUAUAAGACUGGGAUAACUUCGGGAAACCGGAGCUAAUACCGGAUAACAUGUUGAACCGCAUGGUUCAACAGUGAAAGACGGUCUUGCUGUCACUUAUAGAUGGAUCCGCGCCGCAUUAGCUAGUUGGUAAGGUAACGGCUUACCAAGGCAACGAUGCGUAGCCGACCUGAGAGGGUGAUCGCCCACACUGGAACUGAGACACGGUCCAGACUCCUACGGGAGGCAGCAGUAGGGAAUCUUCCGCAGUGGGCGAAAGCCUGACGGAGCAACGCCGCGUGAGUGAAGAAGGUCUUCGGAUCGUAAAACUCUGUUAUUAGGGAAGAACAAAUGUGUAAGUAACUAUGCACGUCUUGACGGUACCUAAUCAGAAAGCCACGGCUAACUACGUG
RNAcentral lists this ribosomal RNA (497 nucleotides) under uncultured bacterium. RNAcentral describes it as "partial 16S ribosomal RNA". It matches the Rfam family "Bacterial small subunit ribosomal RNA", at positions 28 to 507 of the family's 1533-position model. The record is from RNAcentral.